Molecule: non-coding RNA, 355 nt
Organism: Cinara cedri
Lineage: Eukaryota; Metazoa; Arthropoda; Insecta; Hemiptera; Aphididae
Source: the annotation of a GenBank genome assembly
AUAUUGUUAACUACUGUAAAAUAAUCGCUGAUUUUAAUUGUUCGCCUGUUACUUAUUUUAGCACUUCAUAGACCUGGUACAAUUUACAAAAUAUUCCGCCUUUUUUUUUUACUUAUUUACCUAUAGCUGUUUGAAUUCGUUAAGUUUCUACAAGAUAUAUAAUAAGAAAUGAUACGGAAUAAUAAGAAAAAAAAAAAAAAAAAAAACAACAGAACGAAAAGCGUUCUGCAAGAAGUGUACCAGGACAACAGGACGCAAAGCUAAAAAAAAAAAAAAAAUACAAUCUCGCAUAAAACAAUGCCGUAUGGUCACUCUAGAUUGAUAACGCGUCAAUGGCCACUUCACCAAAAGCCCC